UACAGAGGGGGCAAGCGUUUGUUCGGAAUUACUGGGCGUAAAGGGCGCGUAGGCGGCCUGUUAAGUCGAACGUGAAAUCCCUGGGCUCAACCCAGGAACUGCGUCCGAUACUGGCAGGCUUGAAUUCGGGAGAGGGAUGCGGAAUUCCAGGUGUAGCGGUGAAAUGCGUAGAUAUCUGGAGGAACACCGGUGGCGAAGGCGGCAUCCUGGACCGAUAUUGACGCUGAGGCGCGAAAGCCAGGGGAGCAAACGGG
RNAcentral lists this ribosomal RNA (254 nucleotides) under uncultured bacterium. RNAcentral describes it as "partial 16S ribosomal RNA". It matches the Rfam family "Bacterial small subunit ribosomal RNA", at positions 524 to 776 of the family's 1533-position model. The record is from RNAcentral.